Molecule: ribosomal RNA, 595 nt
Filed under: Lactobacillus gasseri
Lineage: Bacteria; Bacillati; Bacillota; Bacilli; Lactobacillales; Lactobacillaceae
Description: bacterial SSU rRNA
Rfam family: Bacterial small subunit ribosomal RNA
Source: RNAcentral
AUGGACGCAGUCUGAUGGAGCAACGCCGCGUGAGUGAAGAAGGGUUUCGGCUCGUAAAGCUCUGUUGGUAGUGAAGAAAGAUAGAGGUAGUAACUGGCCUUUAUGUGACGGUAAUUACUUAGAAAGUCACGGCUAACUACGUGCCAGCAGCCGCGGUAAUACGUAAGUGGCAAGCGUAGUCCGGAUUUAUUGGGCGUAAAGCGAGUGCAGGCGGUUCAAUAAGUCUGAUGUGAAAGCCUUCGGCUCAACCGGAGAAUUGCAUCAGAAACUGUUGAACUUGAGUGCAGAAGAGGAGAGUGGAACUCCAUGUGUAGCGGUGGAAUGCGUAGAUAUAUGGAAGAACACCAGUGGCGAAGGCGGCUCCCUGGUCUGCAAGCGUGACGCUGAGGCUCAAAAGCAUGGGUAGCGAACAGGAUUAGAUACCCUGGUAGUCCAUGCCGUAAACGAUGAGUGCUAAGUGUUGGGAGGUUUCCGCCUCUCAGUGCUGCGGCUAACGCAUUAAGCACUCCGCCUGGGGAGUACGACCGCAAGGUUGAAACUCAAAGGAAUUGACGGGGGCCCGCACAAGCGGUGGAGCGUGUGGUUUAAUUCGAAG